This is a non-coding RNA of Pelobates cultripes (western spadefoot toad), 158 nucleotides long. The record is from the annotation of a GenBank genome assembly. NCBI's taxonomy places the organism in Eukaryota, Metazoa, Chordata, Amphibia, Anura, Pelobatidae.
CGCCCCCUAUUCGUCAUCAUUGAGUAAACUUUGACCCGGAACCUCACAUUCAGCAGACACAUCCUGGGAGGGAGAGUCUGCUGCUGAUUGGCUGGAAUGUGUCUGCUGACUGUGAGGUUCCGGGUCAAAGUGUACUCAAUGAUGACGAAUAGGGGGCG